CGAGAAAUCCCUGUGGGGAAGACGGGGGCGGAGUAGCAAGAUGGGUAGCCACACGAUGGCCCAUCUCAGUCAAUAAGGAUAUAAACAGGAGAGAUAUUAAGACAGGAAAGUAUUCCAGAAAAACGGCAAACGAAGUAAGGAUAGAAAAAGAGGAAAUUAAAAAUGAUGGGGUAAUAGCGAUAGUUAAUGGGUAUUACUCUCGUUUUUAUGAUAAAGAUCCAAAAUUAAGUUGGGACGAAUUAGGAGAAACAUUGGAAGCUGUCUUCGAAGCGGUAGAAACAAAAACAGUAGUGACUACUACGUGGGGAGAUGGAUUGUUCGGAUAUCCCGACAAUAUGGCCAGGAAAAUGAUAUAUGAAGCUAUGAGGAAUUGGUUAAGCAAAGGUGCAGGACGUCGAAUUAUAUGGGUCCUACAAACCAGAGAAAAAUUUCAAGAAGCAAACACCCUCCUGUCUCUGCAUCAUACAAAAAUAGCAAAAAUACCUGAGGAGGACCUCGGCUACAAAAUAGAAGGAUUAAAGGUGUUGUCAAAGACGCGGCCAAGGUCAAAAUCAGCAGAGAGGGGCGCAAGGUCUGAUACAAUAGGAAGAGACGGAGGCAAGGGUCAAAUAAAAACAGCAAAGCCACCUCCAUAUGAAGAACCACAAGCGGGAGCAUCGCCGUACAGUACAAUAAUUACACAAAUAAUGCCUCUUACUCCCUCAGCCCCUUAUUUCACAGACGAGGGCAUAAUAGAUGCACUAAUAGAAGAGGGAGACGGAGGUCUAAGUAGUAAAUACUUAGUAACUACUGAGGAUGAGGGAGGCAGCUCCGGGAGUGAAGAGGAGGAUGAUGAAGGGCUUGUGCCUUUCAGGGAGGAUAAUGCACAACAGAUGUGGUUAGAGAGGAGAGCUGCAGAAGCCUAUCGUCAGUGUAAAGAUAAGACAAGGCCAAACAAAAAUGAGAGCAGAGAAAGAGAAGCUCUCCUAGAGAGUAAAUUAGAGCAAUUAAAAUUAAGAUAUGAAACGGCAGAGGAAGAGCAUAGGAAUGC
RNAcentral lists this long non-coding RNA (1030 nucleotides) under Gouania willdenowi (blunt-snouted clingfish). RNAcentral's name for it is "lncRNA (ENSGWIG00000019227.1)". The record is from RNAcentral. Lineage: Eukaryota; Metazoa; Chordata; Actinopteri; Blenniiformes; Gobiesocidae.